Molecule: ribosomal RNA, 2817 nt
Filed under: Mesorhizobium sp.
Lineage: Bacteria; Pseudomonadati; Pseudomonadota; Alphaproteobacteria; Hyphomicrobiales; Phyllobacteriaceae
Description: partial 23S ribosomal RNA
Rfam family: Bacterial large subunit ribosomal RNA
Source: RNAcentral
CGCAUACGGUGGAUGCCUUGGCAGUCAGAGGCGAUGAAAGACGUGGUAGCCUGCGAAAAGCUUCGGGGAGUCGGCAAACAGACUUUGAUCCGGAGAUGUCUGAAUGGGGGAACCCAGCCAUCAUAAGAUGGUUAUCUUGUACUGAAUACAUAGGUGCAAGAGGCGAACCAGGGGAACUGAAACAUCUAAGUACCCUGAGGAAAAGAAAUCAACCGAGAUUCCCUUAGUAGUGGCGAGCGAACGGGGNNNNNNNNNNAGCCCUUAAGUGGCUUUGAGAUUAGCGGAACGCUCUGGAAAGUGCGGCCAUAGUGGGUGAUAGCCCUGUACGCGAAAAUCUCUUAGUCAUGAAAUCGAGUAGGACGGAGCACGAGAAACUUUGUCUGAAUAUGGGGGGACCAUCCUCCAAGGCUAAAUACUACUGACUGACCGAUAGUGAACUAGUACCGUGAGGGAAAGGCGAAAAGAACCCCGGAGAGGGGAGUGAAAUAGAUCCUGAAACCGUAUGCGUACAAGCAGUGGGAGCCCACUUUGUUGGGUGACUGCGUACCUUUUGUAUAAUGGGUCAGCGACUUAUUUUCAGUGGCGAGCUUAACCGAAUAGGGGAGGCGUAGCGAAAGCGAGUCUUAAUAGGGCGUCUAGUCGCUGGGAAUAGACCCGAAACCGGGCGAUCUAUCCAUGGGCAGGUUGAAGGUUGGGUAACACUAACUGGAGGACCGAACCGACUACCGUUGAAAAGUUAGCGGAUGACCUGUGGAUCGGAGUGAAAGGCUAAUCAAGCUCGGAGAUAGCUGGUUCUCCUCGAAAGCUAUUUAGGUAGCGCCUCAUGUAUCACUGUNNNNNNNNNNACGGCGGGUGCUAACGUCCGUCGUGAAAAGGGAAACAACCCAGACCGUCAGCUAAGGUCCCAAAGUUAUGGUUAAGUGGGAAACGAUGUGGGAAGGCUUAGACAGCUAGGAGGUUGGCUUAGAAGCAGCCACCCUUUAAAGAAAGCGUAAUAGCUCACUAGUCGAGUCGGCCUGCGCGGAAGAUGUAACGGGGCUCAAACCAUACACCGAAGCUACGGGUAUCACGUAAGUGAUGCGGUAGAGGAGCGUUCUGUAAGCCUGUGAAGGUGAGUUGAGAAGCUUGCUGGAGGUAUCAGAAGUGCGAAUGCUGACAUGAGUAACGACAAUGGGUGUGAAAAACACCCACGCCGAAAGACCAAGGUUUCCUGCGCAACGUUAAUCGACGCAGGGUUAGUCGGUCCCUAAGGCGAGGCUGAAAAGCGUAGUCGAUGGAAAACAGGUUAAUAUUCCUGUACUUCUGGUUAUUGCGAUGGAGGGACGGAGAAGGCUAGGCCAGCUUGGCGUUGGUUGUCCAAGUUUAAGGUGGUAGGCUGAGAUCUUAGGUAAAUCCGGGAUCUUAAGGCCGAGAGCUGAUGACGAGUCGUCUUUUAGACGACGAAGUGGUUGAUGCCAUGCUUCCAAGAAAAGCUUCUAAGCUUCAGGUAACCAGGAACCGUACCCCAAACCGACACAGGUGGUUGGGUAGAGAAUACCAAGGCGCUUGAGAGAACUCGGGUGAAGGAACUAGGCAAAAUGGCACCGUAACUUCGGGAGAAGGUGCGCCGGUGAGGGUGAAGGACUUGCUCCGUAAGCCCAUGCCGGUCGAAGAUACCAGGCCGCUGCGACUGUUUAUUAAAAACACAGCACUCUGCAAACACGAAAGUGGACGUAUAGGGUGUGACGCCUGCCCGGUGCCGGAAGGUUAAUUGAUGGGGUUAGCUAACGCGAAGCUCUUGAUCGAAGCCCCGGUAAACGGCGGCCGUAACUAUAACGGUCCUAAGGUAGCGAAAUUCCUUGUCGGGUAAGUUCCGACCUGCACGAAUGGCGUAACGAUGGCGGCGCUGUCUCCACCCGAGACUCAGUGAAAUUGAAAUCGCUGUGAAGAUGCAGUGUAUCCGCGGCUAGACGGAAAGACCCCGUGAACCUUUACUAUAGCUUUGCACUGGACUUUGAAUUUGCUUGUGUAGGAUAGGUGGGAGGCUUUGAAGCGUGGACGCCAGUUCGCGUGGAGCCAACCUUGAAAUACCACCCUGGCAACUUUGAGGUUCUAACUCAGGUCCGUUAUCCGGAUCGAGGACAGUGUAUGGUGGGUAGUUUGACUGGGGCGGUCUCCUCCUAAAGAGUAACGGAGGAGUACGAAGGUGCGCUCAGACCGGUCGGAAAUCGGUCGUAGAGUAUAAAGGCAAAAGCGCGCUUGACUGCGAGACAGACACGUCGAGCAGGUACGAAAGUAGGUCUUAGUGAUCCGGUGGUUCUGUAUGGAAGGGCCAUCGCUCAACGGAUAAAAGGUACUCCGGGGAUAACAGGCUGAUACCGCCCAAGAGUUCAUAUCGACGGCGGUGUUUGGCACCUCGAUGUCGGCUCAUCACAUCCUGGGGCUGAAGCCGGUCCCAAGGGUAUGGCUGUUCGCCAUUUAAAGUGGUACGCGAGCUGGGUUUAGAACGUCGUGAGACAGUUCGGUCCCUAUCUGCCGUGGACGUUUGAGAUUUGAGAGGGGCUGCUCCUAGUACGAGAGGACCGGAGUGGACGAACCUCUGGUGUUCCGGUUGUCACGCCAGUGGCAUUGCCGGGUAGCUAUGUUCGGAAUAGAUAACCGCUGAAAGCAUCUAAGCGGGAAACUAGCCUCAAGAUGAGAUCUCACUGGGACCUUGAGUCCCCUGAAGGGCCGUCGAAGACUACGACGUUGAUAGGUUGGGUGUGUAAGCGCUGUGAGGCGUUGAGCUAACCAAUACUAAUUGCCCGUGAGGCUUGACCAUAUAACACCCAAGCAAUU